ACGAACGAUCAUCCUUGAUCUUCUACCCCUCAAACCACUGUGGACAAGAGAUGUGCUUUGGCGCCGAGAGGCGCCGCCUUUAUGCUUCAACUGAGUCUUUAUUGUCUGUCUAAAACAAAUGUCA
Molecule: unclassified non-coding RNA, 124 nt
Filed under: uncultured Archaeorhizomyces
Lineage: Eukaryota; Fungi; Ascomycota; Archaeorhizomycetes; Archaeorhizomycetales; Archaeorhizomycetaceae
Description: sequence contains ITS1
Source: RNAcentral